CUGCGGCCUAUCAGUUUGUUGGUGAGGUAAUGGCCCACCAAGACUAUUACAGGUACGGGCUCUGAGAGGAGUAGCCCGGAGAUGGGUACUGAGACACGGACCCAGGCCCUAUGGGGCGCAGCAGGCGAGAAAACUUUGCAAUGUGCGAAAGCACGACAAGGUUAAUCCGAGUGGUUUGUGCUAAACGAACCUUUUGACAGUCCUAGAAACACUGUUGAAUAAGGGGUGGGCAAGUUCUGGUGUCAGCCGCCGCGGUAAAACCAGCACCUCAAGUGGUCAGGAUGAUUAUUGGGCCUAAAGCAUCCGUAGCCGGCUCUGUAAGUUUUCGGUUAAAUCUGUACGCUCAACGUACAGGCUGCCGGGAAUACUGCAGAGCUAGGGAGUGGGAGAGGUAGACGGUACUCGGUAGGAAGGGGUAAGAUCCUUUGAUCUAUUGAUGACCACCUGUGGCGAAGGCGGUCUACCAGAACACAU
This 474-nucleotide ribosomal RNA is filed under the name uncultured Nitrososphaerota archaeon. Its description in RNAcentral is "bacterial SSU rRNA". It matches the Rfam family "Archaeal small subunit ribosomal RNA", at positions 215 to 690 of the family's 1478-position model. Lineage: Archaea; Thermoproteati; Nitrososphaerota. The record is from RNAcentral.